Triticum aestivum (bread wheat) is the source of this 2018-nucleotide long non-coding RNA. RefSeq lists it as uncharacterized. NCBI's taxonomy places the organism in Eukaryota, Viridiplantae, Streptophyta, Magnoliopsida, Poales, Poaceae. The record is from RefSeq and is a predicted model, not a curated record. The transcript has 9 exons.
AGCAGGUGCCCUUUAUGGACAACAUCAACGAGGAACAUGCUGGACCACACGCCCAUGCUCUUGAGCUAGACGAGGACAUCAUCGUGUCGUACCUCAAUCUCGAGGUGACGAUGAUGCCGACUCACCGCACAAGUGGUUGAUGAACAACUUUGCCAAGCACUAGGCCAACCUGAGUGUGGGCCCCAUCACAUCCAAGAUGAUGGACGGGACCGGUGUUGGUUUUUUGUGAUUUUGCUUGCCUAGCCGCAACCAUGGACGUGGUGAUGCCUGGCCUCGGCUACAACUGCACAGUGAUUGAAGAUCAACCCUGCCAAGUUGUUGAAAUAAGCACUCCAUGGAUGGAAUCCUGCAGUUGAUCCAUCCAUCUCGAAGAGGAAGAAGCAGAAGAAUAAAAGAAGAUGGUGAUCUAUAUGAGUUGAUGGGUUCGUCGGAGGAGGAGAAGGACCUCUUCUCUUCACCAACACAAAGAGCAACCACACCCCAGCGCUCAAGCACAUACACAGGGACCUCCCCGUUGUUGUAUUUGGUGGAUUCGGUUCGUGCAAGCAAGCACACCGAGGUUGGCUGGCCCGCACUCCAUUUCAGGGGGUGUUCUGUGUACCACCGGAGGAAUGAGCUCGCCAGCUGCGUCGACAUCAUCGACGCCGACGGCCAGCCCCACGUCAUAUUCAUGUGCGUCUGAGCGGGCCGCUAUGGGAGGAUGACCCCACUCAUCGUCAACAGGCACCACGGCAGCUACGUCGAGGCCCUCCAGAUUGUCAUUAUGCUGCCCGAGAACCCCUGAUAUCGGGAGUUCCAACAUCUGGUGGAAAUGCCUUAACGAGUUGAUUGCCACUGAUGAAACUUUUUAUUAUUAUUUUGCGGAUGGUGAAACAUCCUCUUCAAGAACUAUGCAGGGAUCGAUGAGCAACUUUGCCUAGCACUAGGCCAACCUGUGUGGGACCUAUCAUAUCCAAGAUGAUGGAUGGGACAGGUGGUUUUUGUGAUUUUGCUCGCCAAGCCGCAACCAUGGAAGUAGUGAUGUCUGGCCUCGGCUACAACUGCGUAGUGAUCGAAGAUCAACCCAGCCAAGUUGUCCAAAUAAGCAUGGAUGGUGUCCUGCAGAGUAUCCGUCCAUCCAUCUCUAAGAGGAAUAAGCAGAAUAAUCAAAGAAGAUGGCGAUCUAUAUGAGCUGAUGGGUUCAUCGGAGGAUGAGAAGAAGUGCCUCUUCUCUUCACCAACACAAAGAGCACUCAAGCACAGUCACGGAGACCUCCCCGUCGUUGUAUUUGGUGGAUUCAGUUCGUGCAAGCAAGCACACCGAGGAUGGCUGGCUCGCACUCCAUUUCAGGGGGAUUUCGGUGUACCACCUGUGGAAUGACCUUGCUAGCUGCGUCGACAUCAUCGACGGCCAGCCCCACGUCAUCAUCAUGGCGUCUGAGUGGGCCGCUAUGGCUGGCUGACCCCACUCAUCGUCAACCGGCACCACGGCAGCUGCGGAGAGAACCUCCUAAUUGUUAUUAGGCUAUCCGAGAACCCGUGGUGAGAGCUUCUCUCCAUGUCACAACUAACCAGUGAGGACUUGCGAGAGGAACUGAAGAAAAAGGAAAAAAGCCAUGUUAAGUUUUCCGUUUGCUGGGUGUCGGCCGAAUGGCUGACUCGACGUAUCAAGAGGCAAGAUGAACCCUGAAGCCAGUGGAUGAACCAAGAGAUCCAGGUUGAAGCGUGUGGGUGGUGUGCGCACUGAAUGGACCAAGAUUCUCUGGAGGGAAAUAUACAUGCUGGAAUGCAAGAAGGCCCUGGCGAAUCUCGAAGACAAGAUAUAGGCAUUUUUGUGUUUAUUUUUACUUUUCCGUUGGGUGUCUGUUGGUGGAAUGGUCUAGGGGGUUUGUAUUGUGCUCUGCAGAAACUUGGUAUCUUUGGUCAAUGUCAACAAGUAGCAGACAACAUAUUGGAUUGGUUGAAUGAAUGUGUGCUUUUUCUGUUGGCUCAAAUGCUUAAUUCUCCAUGAAAAGAAUGAUUGUCAGGUCGUUCAUUCA